AACGCACCUUGCGCCCCUUGGCUAUUCCGAGGGGCAUGCCUGUUUGAGUAUCAUGAACACCUCAACUCUAACGGUUCACCCGUGACGAGCUUGGACUUCUGGAGGUUUUGCUGGCCUGUGGUCGGCUCCUCUCAAAUGGAUCAGCUUACCAGUGUUUGGUGGCGCCAUGGGUGUGAUAACUAUCUACGCCUGCGGCCGUCUGCCAGGAGACCUUCAGUGAUGGGGGUUGGCUGGGGCUUACAAAUGUCUCUCCUCAGCGAGGACAGCUUUUUUAACGUUCGAUCUCAAAUCAGGUAGGACUACCCGCUGAACUUAA
RNAcentral lists this unclassified non-coding RNA (316 nucleotides) under uncultured Tomentella. RNAcentral's name for it is "sequence contains ITS2". Lineage: Eukaryota; Fungi; Basidiomycota; Agaricomycetes; Thelephorales; Thelephoraceae. The record is from RNAcentral.